Molecule: ribosomal RNA, 1426 nt
Filed under: marine metagenome
Description: bacterial LSU rRNA
Rfam family: Bacterial large subunit ribosomal RNA
Source: RNAcentral
AAUGUAACGGGGCUCAAGCACAUCGCCGAAGUUGUGGCAUUCACACCGAUAACCCGGCCGUAAGGUCCAGGUGUGUGGAUGGGUAGGGGAGCGUCGUGUGGCGAGCGAAGCGGCGGGGAGACCCAGCCGUGGACGCCACACGAGUGAGAAUGCAGGCAUGAGUAGCGAAAGACGGGUGAGAAACCCGUCCGCCGGAUGACCAAGGGUUCCAGGGCCAGGCUAAUCCGCCCUGGGUAAGUCGGGACCUAAGACGAGGCCGACAGGCGUAGUCGAUGGACAACGGGUUGAUAUUCCCGUACCGGUUUACGCGCGACCAUGACGAGCCCAGUGAUGCUAAGCCCACAAAGUCGAGGAACUCUUCGGAGGGAAUUGGUGGAGUGCGCGAACCGAACUGGUAGUAGUCAAGCAAUGGGGUGACGCAGGAAGGUAGCUCAACCGCGGCGAUGGUAGACCGCGGCCAAGGUUGUAGGGCGAGAUGUAGGCAAAUCCGCAUCUCAUAUGCCUGAGAACUGAGGGGGAGCCGACUUAGGCGAAGUGAGUGAUCCUAUGCUGCCGAGAAAAGCCUCUAGCGAGUGUGUAAGCCGCCCGUACCCCAAACCGACACAGGUGGUCAGGUAGAGAAUACCGAGGCGAUCGAGUGAACUGUGGUUAAGGAACUCGGCAAAUUGCCCCCGUAACUUCGGGAGAAGGGGGGCCGCGGCUGGUGAUGGGACUUGCUCCCUGAGCUGGCUACGGCCGCAGAGACCAGGUGGAAGCGACUGUUUACUAAAAACACAGGUCCAUGCAAAGUCGCAAGACGACGUAUAUGGACUGACGCCUGCCCGGUGCUGGAACGUUAAGGGGACCAGUUAGUUCUUCGGAGCAAAGCUGAGAACUUAAGCGCCAGUAAACGGCGGUGGUAACUAUAACCAUCCUAAGGUAGCGAAAUUCCUUGUCGGGUAAGUUCCGACCUGCACGAAUGGCGUAACGACUUCCACGCUGUCUCAACCGCAGACUCGGCGAAAUUGCACUACGAGUAAAGAUGCUCGUUACGCGUGGCAGGACGGAAAGACCCCGGGACCUUUACUACAGCUUGGUAUUGGUGGUCGGUUCGAUUUGUGUAGCAUAGGUGGGAGACUUGGAAGCCCGGACGCCAGUUCGGGUGGAGUCAUCGUUGAAAUACCACUCUGAUCGUAUUGGCUGUCUAACCUCGAUCCGUGAUCCGGAUUAGGGACAGUGCCUGGUGGGUAGUUUAACUGGGGCGGUUGCCUCCCAAAGAGUAACGGAGGCGCUCAAAGGUUCCCUCAGCCUGGUUGGCAAUCAGGUGUCGAGUGUAAGUGCACAAGGGAGCUUGACUGUGAGACUGACAGGUCGAGCAGGGACGAAAGUCGGAACUAGUGAUCCGGCGCCGGCAUGUGGAAGCGGCGUCGCUCAACGGAUAAAAGGU